UACGUAGGGUGCGAGCGUUAAUCGGAAUUACUGGGCGUAAAGGGCUCGUAGGUGGCCAACUAAGUCAGACGUGAAAUCCCUCGGCUUAACCGGGGAACUGCGUCUGAUACUGGAUGGCUUGAGUUUGGGAGAGGGAUGCGGAAUUCCAGGUGUAGCGGUGAAAUGCGUAGAUAUCGGGAGGAACACCAGAGGCGAAGGCGGCUAGCUGGAUAGGCACUGACACUGAACUACGAAAGUGUGGGGAGCAAACAGG
RNAcentral lists this ribosomal RNA (253 nucleotides) under uncultured bacterium. RNAcentral's name for it is "partial 16S ribosomal RNA". It matches the Rfam family "Bacterial small subunit ribosomal RNA", at positions 524 to 776 of the family's 1533-position model. The record is from RNAcentral.